RNAcentral lists this long non-coding RNA (12185 nucleotides) under Zea mays. Its description in RNAcentral is "long non-coding RNA (ZMAY_LNC003498)". The record is from RNAcentral. Lineage: Eukaryota; Viridiplantae; Streptophyta; Magnoliopsida; Poales; Poaceae.
CUCCUUUUGAGUUGCGUUCGUUGGAGGAGUCUUCUUGUUCUUUUGGGAUCUUCUACGAGCCAUCACUUCGAGUUGUUAGACUCAAGAUGAAGUGCCUAGCUCUGAUACCAAUUGAAAGUCGCCUAGAGGGGGGGGUGAAUAGGCGGAACCUGAAAAUUAAAACUUUAUCCCCCAACUAGAUCCCUUGAUUAGUGGUUAGAACAAGAUAUACAAAUAUCGGAGAAUAGAAACUAAGUUCUUGCUUGAAAGGAGUAUUGCUAAAUAAUGCGGGAGAGAUAAAUCAAUACAACUAAUAAGUUAUAGAAUAACAAGGCAAGAACCCUUAGAUGAGAAGAGCACUAGAACAAGUUCUUUCUUGCAACGUGUUGCUUCACUAAAUGGAAAUUUAACUUGAAGCAAUACCAAAUGAGAUUAGCAAAUAAUGGUGCAAGAAAACUUAGAGCAAGGGAAAGCAAACAAAUCACAAGCAAUAAACACAAUGGACACGGGUGAUUUGUUUUACCGAGGUUCGGCCCUCGAAGGCCUAGUCCCCGUUGAGGAGUCCACUUAAGGACGGGUCUUUUUCAACCCUUUCCCUCUCUCCCGAUCACACAAGGAUCGGCGAGCUCUUCUUCUUCUCAAGGAUCACUCUCGAUCCCACAAGGACCACCACAAUCUUUGGUGUCUCUUGCUAGCUUUUACAAGCCUCCAACACUUUGGAGGAAGUUCGAAUGGGAGUCAAAAACUCCACGCGCAAAUGAACACAAAGAUGUAGCACACACUAUCUUCUCAAUGAAUCUCACAAGGCGCUAGGGCUAAACUCAAUUGAGUAGCUCUCAAUUGCUUGCUCUCUCUUUUGUGGCACUUGUGUUGGUUGUAGUGGACUAAAUCUUGUGUAUAGGAUGGAUCAAUGAAUAUAUGUGGUUGGGAGGGCUUGAGUAUGUCAACUUGAUGACUUGGAAUGUUGCUUGGGCUCCCACCUCUUGAAGUGGCCGGUUGGGGUGGUAUUUAUAGCCACCAUCCAAUUUUGUAGCCGUUGGAGAAGCUGCUGGCGAUGGGCGCACCGGACAGUCCGGUGCACACCGGACAUGUCCGGUGCCCCUGCCACGUCACCCUAUCCGUUGGGGAUGGAGCUGGUCGACCGUUGGAGGCUUUUGUCCUCAUGUGGCACCGGACAGUCCGGUGCACACCGGACAGUCCGGUGCCUCUCUGAUCCUCUGCUCCGACUUCUGCCGAGUGUACUGUUCUGCACUGUAUACCGUCAGAGUCGACCGUUGGCGCGAAGAUGACCGUUGCUCCGCUAGCACACCGGACAGUCCGGUGCACACCGGACAGUCCGGUGAAUUUUAGCGGAGCAGUCUUCGUGAAAUCCCGAGGCUGCCGAGUUCCUGAGGCCGCGUUCCGUUGGAGCACCGGACACUGUCCGGUGUACACCGGACAGUCCGGUGAAUUAUAGCGCGCCGGCUUCCGAGAAUUCCCGAGAAUGAAGAGUUGGAGUCAGCGUUCCCUGGUGCACCGGACAGGUACUGUUCACUGUCCGGUGGCACACCGGACAGUCCGGUGCGCCAGACCAGGGGUGCCCUCGGUUGCCCCUUUGCUCCUUUAUUUUGACUCUUGUCUUGUUCUUUUUAUUGGUUUUAUGUUGAAUCUUUGGCACCUGUAGAACAUAUAAUCUAGAGCAAACUAAUUAGUCCAAUUGUUUGUGUUGGACAUUCAAUCACCAAAAUCAUUUAGGAAAAGGUUUAAAGCCUAUUUCCCUUUCACUAUUUUAGUGUAUUAUCUCUGAGUGAUGUCAUACCAGCAAAGUGGCGCGAUGGGAGUGCCAAAUUUUCGAAUUUCUCGUCGUGUGGCGGUGGUCCGUCGGGGUUUUUCCUAAGAUGGGGUCUGGAGGGGCCAGGGUUCUCCUAACGUGGCGGGUGACGGGUGGGGAUGGCGCAAGCAGUGGCUAGGAAGGUAGGGACAGUUUGGGAAAUUUUUCAGGGGUGAUUAAAUGUACUAGAGCUAAUAGUUAGUUACUAAAAUUAGUUAAGGACAUUCAACCAGCCCAUCUAAUAGUUAGCUAGCUAAUUCCACUAGCAAUUUUAGACAAGUAACUGUUAGCUCUAGUGCAUUUAAACACCCCCUAGCUCUAAGAUAGCAUUGUGGUAUUUGAGUAUAUCAUAAGGGUAUGUGCUUUUGUUGGAACAGUCGCCUGAAAUGAUUACUAGCCAGAUUGCUUGUAUAGUUUAUAUAAGUUUUGAUCAGCUGGAACAAUUUCAUGGUAGAAUACUGAAGAAACAAACAAGUUCUAAUAUUUUCGACUAAAAUGUGUUUGGAAAUACAUCUAAAAGCUCUAUAUUUUAAAUCAUGGUUUCACUAAUAUUACAAUAUUUUUUUUAAUAGUAUUCACGUGAUAUUAAAAGUUUCCUCUGUUAUAUGCCUUCCCCCUUAUUCUUUCCUCUAUAUUUUAAUUUUAUGCUACAUUAUUUGAUUGAUUGAUUUACUAUUUCUACAUAUUCCAUAGCUUUUGUUUUUUUUAUUUUCACAAACAUUUAACAUAAACCGUAUGAACUUAUAAUUUAUUCUCUUAUAUCUCGAAUAUCAUUCUUAUAAACGAGCGAUAUUUUUACAAAGGAGAAACAUUGUUUUUCUAAACCUAGAACAACGUGUACACUCAAUAAAUGAAAAAAACAGUCUACCUUCAUGAUGUAAAUGUUCUUUAAUAAAAUUCUAUCUAAAUAGUAUAUAUCCAUGUGGGGUUUUGUAUCCAAGAAUUUAUUGCGAGAAACAUGAUGGUAUGCUUGUUAUUUAAUUUGAAUGCUCGAUUUAGCAGCCCUGUUUUUUUUUUAAAAAAAAAAUCCAUGCAAAUGCUUUUCUGAAACAAGCGUGUUUUUGUGGAGCAUGCCCGCAGAAGGGCAGGCCUUAAUAAAACAACAAAAGCCGCAAAGCAGUUCAAACUAGUGGGCCUAUAAUUACACAAAUCAGCCCACUUAGAACAGCCCACGCGGCCGCAAUAGAGUUGCUACCGUCCGAAAAUUAAUCUACGGGCGGACACUUAGGGCUGUUUGGUUUCUAGGGACUAAUUUUUAGUCCCUCAUUUUAUUCUAUUUUAGUCCCUAAAUUACUAAAUAUAGAAACUAAAACUCUAUUUUAGUUUCCCUAUUUAACAAUUUAUAAAUUAAAAUGGAAUAAAGUGGAGGGACUAAAGUUUAGUCCCUAUAAACCAAACACCCCCUUAGGCCGUCAGUCAGGCGCAGAAUAACAGCUCCUAGAUGUUCCUGCCCUGUCAUCCUUUCUAAUAAUCAUGAAUGUCCACAGUCGAUGAUGUGCCCUUGAUCCUGGAAGGAACGCGUCGACAGUUGUUUGGCUGACCGACCUUGAGCAAUCACAGGAGAAUCUCCCCUGUGCAGAUGCAUUGAUGCAAUCGUCACUCCGGGAGUGAUUAACAAACACUGUACCUAAGUACUGACAAAACGAGGCAUCAAGGUACGAGGCGAUGAGCGGAUGACCGGUGGUCCCACGUCGGCGUGCAUCACACUCGAGACCGCACCAUGGCCGGGUUUCGGGCGUCCGCGCCGGCCCAGCCCAACCACCAGCAGGCAGCAGCCGACAACUGGAUCUGUGAUGGGCUGAUGGUGAUCCCCAAUUCCCCAUCCACCGGGGCCGUGCAGUCGCUGCGUGGAAAACUCGCCCGGACCGGGGGCCCUCGCAGAGCGGCAUGGUAUUCCAUGAUUCUAUCCUAGGUCCAACGGAUAAUUUUUUCGCAAUAGCGGUUUUCGCUAUAUUUAUCGUUUUCGCUGUUGCGCGAGAUUCGAAAACCGCUACGAAUUUUAUGUAUUUCUAUUUAAAAUUUUAAAAAUAUAUAAAAGUCAAAUUUUGAUCAAUAAAACGGUUUUGAAAUCUGCCAACGAAAAAUUGAUGUGGCUCUAAUCCGGCUAUGGCUUCUACACUAUUUUGUUUAUGUGGAUUACAGAUGCAGCAGUUCGAACAGUUACAGUAGCUACGAGCUGCCAGCCAGCCGAACCAAUAUAUCUUUCCGUGUGUUAAUUCAAACUUUUCCGGAUUGUUUUAGUCAGGACAGGUAAUGUUUCAUAAAGCACUCAAGAUUUUUCUGUAUGUUAAUUCGAGGGCUUCCAACACCUCAUAGGAGUAGAUGUAUCUAGUGGUUUAGAUGACUAAUUUCAAUUGUUUUCUUUACAACUUAGAUUAUUUCUCUAAUAUUCUCCUCCUAUAUCCUACUUCUCCUUCACACCAGCGCUCUCUCUCCCCCUAUUUACUCACGUCCCACAACGGUUUCAUUUAAAUUCUCCCUCUAUACCCCACAUACCUAUAUAAUAUCAUUUCCAUUUCAACAAACAUAACUACCUCUAUUUCAUUUCCCCUUUUUCUUGCAAAUGUAAAAACCAAUAAAUUAUAAUUCUACAUUACUUAGUAAUGGCUCAAUAGCAAAUGUCACCUGGACAAUAAAACCAUCAAAGCUACUAGAGCUUUAUGUUGUAAUUUCAUGAGAUCAAAUAGAAUACUAAAUAAAUUUAUGACAUGCUAGAGAAGACAAGUGAUGUUGGUGUGUAGGGGGCUCUUCAUCAAUGUGUGAGACUGUCUACAACGGUUUCUCUUAAUAUCCUCUUUUAUAUCCCACUUUUGUGCCACGUCCCUAAGAUUCCACCCACUAUUUUUAUCUCGCAUAAUGGUUUCCUCUAAAUUCUUCCCCUAUACCCACUACCACCAUAUACUAUAAUUUUCCAUAUCUAUUCACCUUAUAGUAACAUUUUUUUACCGACCAACAAACACAAUUGUGCACAUAGAACGAGGGAAGGGGUUGUCUGUCGUUUCACCAGAUCUAGCGCUUCCCUGAUUCCUCCCCUUCAACUGUAGCUCAUGGGGGUCUAUUGCAGCGCAAGGGACACACUAUAUUGCUACUGUCGUAGGGAGAGGAGAAGCGUCGUGCGCUGCAGAUAGUCUUAGGAACAUAAGUGUAUGUAUAACUUGGCACCUUCGAUAACCUUAGCCCCUUCCUAACAGAACCCAAAUAUAGUUUCCUGUAGGAAACAGACUCUGGCAGUAAAUACAUAACGCAUUGACCACCAAAAUUACCUAUUCUAUAAAGUUGUUAAAAUAUAUAAUAAACUUCACUUUCUCUCAUCAUGAUGGUAUAAAACAUAUAUGGAGCGUCUAAUUUAAAGUUUGGAUAAAGGAGUUACGCCUCUAGAAGGCUUUCUCUCUCUCGUGCAAGUUGAAAACUCUAACCCCUGUCAAAACUUCUGGCUUUCGAUCAGAAGUUCCUAUCUCAUGUUAACCAUUGAUUUUCGCAAGUCCAAAUCCUAUAGAACCCAAACUCGAUUGCAAUUGCUCCAAACUCAUAGAAAAAUGGAAAUGUGUCUUGGGAGGGUUUCCUACUAGGAUAAUACCAUCUUCAUGUCUAUAUAUCGGAACAUCAUGGACGAUUGAGUUAAUACAGUAUCAAAAUGAACAAAACCAAUCUUCCACCGCUUCUAACCUGCAUGUUGUUGUCCUCUCUUUUGCCCUUCUAACCUGCAUGUUGUUGUCCAUCGCUUUAUUAUACAAUCAAAGAUGGCGUCGUAAGCUUGUCGAUCGACCUAGGGCCACCCAAUGACAUCCUUGCCUAGAUGAGGUCCCUCUCAGCCGAGAACUUUUACAGUUCCUUUGCUAGUUUGCCCAAGAAUGUAAUCGUUUUUUAUCACAAAAGCUUGAUUAGUUAUCUCUUGGUGGUUUACUCGUAAACCUUACUGCUUGUCACAUCUUUGUGUUAACAUGCUUUUAGUGUCUCUACUAGAAAGGGUUGCUUCAUCUUUGCUUUGUGGCUAAAUCUAAUCUGCCCUAGUCAUAUUCUUCACUGAUAUAUCUUCUUGUGCUUGUCAUCACCAUUGCAUCUACCGUAAAAGACCGAUCAUAUAUGGUUUUAACCACUUGGGAUCUUGUUUGCUCAACAUGAUGCUAUAAAAACUAGGAAGCUGGUUAAGUUUAUUGCUCAUGGGGUAUCAAGGUAUAACACUCAUAAUCAGUCAAAAAACGGUUACUCUUGUCUGUUUUUUGUACUAGUCUCGAUUCCAAUUAUUCUAGACUCGUGGCGAACUUAAAUAUUGCAUCUUGAGAGGGUUUUCUAUUGAUAUAAAACCACUCACCUCUAUAUAUUGGAGGACUAUGACAGACCAAGUUGAUUCAAUAUCCAAUUGGGAAAAAAAAAUCAGUCGAACACCUUUUGUUUUGCUCAUGCAAUUGUUUUUUUAAACGAACAAGGCAGGAGAGCUGCCGAUUAUAUUAAUAAGGUAGAAGUGAUCCGGAUCGGAGUAAACAACAAACAACAGGCGGUUGGAUUGGGACAUUAACACGCCGACACCAUACAACUUAACUCGUCGGUUGGAUUGAGGCAUCAACACGACACCACACUCACCGCCGACACAGAGUGGCCAAACAAACACAGGCAGCGGUAACCCCACACGAGAGUAUAUAAAACUGCUAAGGGUCAUCGUUGUCAAGCAAGGAUGCAGAGCAUCCAGCAACUACGACUUCCCAAAGCAGCCGACAGACGAACCAAACGAAAAGGAGACAGACAGCCGGUAGAUUCAAAGGUCAAGGAUCGCACCCUCAACUUGUCGUUCGACCAAGGGCGACACGUUGACGACGUUCUUGUCUCGACGGGUCCCUUCUAGCCAAGAGCUUUGAUGGUUUUUUAUGCAAGUUUGCUCAGCGGUUGCUUAUCCUUUAUAGUUUGCUUGUAAACCUUGUUCUUCUUCACGGUAAAAAUGUGUUGAUGAUGCAUUAUAUAUAUUUUUUUGUUUGUAGCGACCUAAACGAUUUAUAUCUAGCUAGUAGCUAGCUAGCAUGUGAUUCACCAUUUGUGUUAACACAAACGGAGACCAGGGGCAUGAGUCUGUGUGACAUCACCCUUCGGUACUAGUACUGAUUUUGUCGUUUCCUAGAAGACUUGACAUCGGUCGUUGGAAUACUACCAGUGACCCAGAAACAGGGGCAUUACGUUUCACGUCAACGGUCAAGGCAUUACGGCCGUACUGACCACUAGUAGUUCACUACGUACAUCGCUAAUUCUCCAGUAGCCAACCUGAAUGGGCAGAGUCGUAUGGAAUUCAUGACCAUCUAGAAAAUCAGGUCCUGAACGCUUGAACCUGCCAAAAUCUGCAAUGUCUAGGUUGACUACAACUUGCGUAAUUGAACGUGUCAAAGAGCGAGAGCUGGAUAUAAGGGGUGUUUGGUUAGAGGGACUAAAGAUUAGUCUCUAGUUUUUAAGUCUCAUUUAGUCUCUUUUUUUUGCCAAUUACUAGGACUAAAAUAUGGACUAAAACGAUUUAGUCUUUAGUCUUUCAUAUAGGUGCUAAAAGAGACUAAAAGCCCACAAUUACUCUGUUGGUCUUACCUUCCCUAUGUAAUAUUCGGUUGUGAGAGCAUGUUUGUAUGGACAACUAAUAUUGUGAGUGUAUUAUAAGAGCAUUUGAGUCUUUGAACAGUGUAUUUAAUGAUUUUAGAAUCUGUUUAGUCUCUAGAACCAAACAAGUAGGGACUAAAUUUAGUCUUAGGACUAAAAUUUAGUCUAGCAUAAUUGAAACCAAACAUGACCUAAAUACAUCGUCAAUUCUGUACUACCAGCUAUUCUCUCGCUUCUUUUAUGCAUAUCACAUUAAUAUAUUAAUGAUCAUAUUAUGACAUAAAUCAUAAAACAUAUUAUAAAAAAAUCGGUCAUAAAAGAACCUUAAGACGUAAAUAUUGUGACAUAAAUCUAUACAUGUUUUUUCGCCAAAACUAAUAGUUAAAAGUUAUCAAUAUUUGGAUUAACACAAAGCUGAUACGCCAUCUACUGUGAUAAAAAAAUUGAGGGAGUAGCAGAGAGGGCAGGAAGCGGCAAUGCGAGGGAAACAAGAAAUUGCCGACUUGCCAGCGAAACUCUGACGGAGAUGGUUAUGCUUUUAAAAAGACACUAGCUAAGCUAGCAAUGGAAAAACAUGACUUGAGAGCAGCACACUACUAGUAAUCUCCCUCUCUCUCUCUCCACUUGUAUAUGCAGGUCAGUGCGUGAUUGGUCAGCACGAUCGGGCCCCUUCCACACCGACUCCGACGUGGAAGGUCAGCAAAAAGAAUCAGCGGCGGCGGCGGCCGGCCCCGCGCGCUUUUUAAUUUUGUACUCCCGUCCCUUGCCGUCUGAAGCUGACGUCAACCUUGCACCGUUCGGCGCACCGCACGUUCGACGGACGGGAUUCUACAACUCUCAAUCGACGGCCGAGAAGAAGCCACAUGCAAAUGCAAGCAUUGGAUCUAUCUAUCUAUCUAUCUCCCUCCAGUGCAGUAAAGGUAGUCGUUUAGGACAUGAUUGUGCAUACCAAGGAGUGAUUAAUUAUCAUAGAGUUUUCCCUGUUUGCCCCUAUUAAAUAGGUAUAUGGGUGCAUUAACGUCACUAAAACAAGCAGGCUUGAUUGGUUGUUGCAGCAGCUCCAAGGCAUUCUAGAUUGGAGGUUUAAGUUCGAUUCCUCUUAAAUGCAUCUUUUUUUGUGCAAUUACUAGGGGCAACAACGUCCAAAUCCCAGACCCACGCGUGCUAUGACUUCUUUUUGUGCACGCUCGGUCACGCGCAGGAUGACUUCUUUUACUGCACCGGAGGAGCUAGCUAGCUACUCCGUAGAAGUACGCGCAGUACGGCAGUAGGUUGUGGUGCGAAACCAGACUUUUCUUUUGGUUCAGACUAGAAGACUGCCGCACAUAUUUCAUCUCCGUUAAUUAAGUAGAGUCUUAUUCUCAGGUUUAGAGAAAUUAAACGUUUAUAAAAAUUAUGAGAUAAUAAAAUAUGACAAAAGCUAUACCAAAAAUAGGUUCACGUAAGAAAGUACGUAUUGGUUUGCGUAGGAAUGCCCGUUUUAGUUUACGGAAGAGUGCACGUAGAAUAACAAAAGGGAUUAUUCAUGUUCAAGCUAGUUUCAACAAUACCAUUAUAACCGUUACAGACCCACAAGGUCGGGUCGUUUUCUGGUCCUCCGCAGGUACUUGUGGAUUCAAAAGCUCAAGAAAAGCAUCACCCUAUGCUGGUCAAAGAACAGCAGUAGAUGCUAUUCGUACAGUGGGUUUGCAACGAGCAGAAGUUAUGGUAAAAGGUGCUGGUAGCGGAAGAGAUGCCGCAUUACGAGCCAUUGCUAAAAGUGGUGUACGGUUAAGUUGUAUACGCGAUGUAACACCUAUGCCGCAUAAUGGAUGUCGACCUCCUAAAAAAAGACGUCUGUAAAAAAAAUGAAACCGCUUUCAAGAGAAAUAAACGAUUCAAUGAUCAAAUAAUACUAGUCUGUUAUGGUUCGAGAAGAGAUAACAGGAUCCACUCAAACACUAGAGUGGAAGUGUGUUGAAUCAAGAGUAGAUAGUAAACGUCUUUAUUAUGGUCGUUUCAUUCUGUCUCCGCUUAGAAAAGGUCAAGCGGAUACUGUCGGUAUUGCCUUGCGAAGAGCUUUACUUGGAGAAAUAGAAGGAACAUGUAUCACACGCGCCAAAUUUGGGAACGUGCCACAUGAAUAUUCCACAAUAGUAGGUAUUGAAGAAUCCAUACAAGAAAUUUUACUAAAUUUGAAAGAAAUUGUAUUGAGAAGUAAUCUCUAUGGAGUUAGAGACGCAUCAAUUUGCGUCAAAGGUCCUAGAUACAUAACCGCUCAAGAUAUAAUCUUACCGCCUUCCGUAGAAAUCGUUGAUACGACACAACCUAUAGCUAACUUGAGAGAACCCGUUGAUUUCUGUAUUGAGUUACAGAUCAAGAGAGAUCGCGCAUAUCAUACGGAACUCAGAAAGAACUCUCAAGAUGGAAGUUAUCCUAUAGAUGCUGUAUUCAUGCCUGUUCGAAAUGUGAAUUAUAGUAUUUUUUCUUGUGGGAAUGGAAAUGAAAAACACGAGAUACUUUUUUUAGAAAUAUGGAUGAAUGGAAGUUUAACUCCUAAAGAAGCGCUUUAUGAAGCUUCUCGUAAUUUGAUUGAUUUAUUUCUUCCUUUUCUACACACAGAGGAAGAGGGCACUAGUUUCGAAGAAAAUAAAAACAGGUUAACUCCACCCCUUUUAACCUUUCAAAAAAGAUUCACUAAUCUAAAGAAAAACAAAAAAGGAAUUCCAUUGAAUUGUAUUUUUAUUGAUCAAUUAGAAUUGCCUUCUAGAACGUAUAAUUGUCUCAAAAGGGCCAAUAUACAUACACUAUUGGACCUUUUGAGUAAGACUGAAGAAGAUCUUAUGCAAAUUAAUAGUUUUCGUAUGGAAGAUGGAAAACUGAUAUGGGACACUCUAGAGAAGCAUCUCCCAAUUGAUUUACCUAAGAACAAGUUCUCGCUUUAAAUCAUUGCAAUUUUUUCCUCUUCUUCUUUUUUGAGUUAGAAUAAAAAGAAAAAAGAAAGCAAUUUGGCAUCUUUGGCAUAAUCUAUAUUUUCGCGAAAUGGAUCAUAAUAAAAUAGAUUUUAGGUAUCUAGGGAAGAUUCACUUGGAAGUAACUAUUUCCUAGAUACCCAUGCAGGGGACUUCGCGGUGGAAUGAAUCAACUCGAAAAAUCCCUAAACUAAAAAAGACCUAAAGUUAAGGAUUUAUCAAUGGGUAAUGUUGCUCCAAUACCUAACCAAAGAGCUACUGCAGUACCGAUUAAAAAAACGGUCGUAGCUACUGGGCGACGAAAUGGAUUUUGGAAUUUAUUGACAUUCUCUAGAAAGGGUACUGUCAAUAAGCCCGUUGGCACAGAAACCAUUAAGAGAACGCCCAAUAACUUAUUGGGUACUGUACGGAGUAUUUGAAAUACGGGAAAGAAGUACCACUCGGGUAAUAUUUCCAAAGGAGUUGCAAACGGAUCCGCCGGUUCACCAAUCAUUGACGGCUCUAGAACCGCUAAACCUACAUUACACGCAAUAGUACCUAGAAUUACUACUGGAAAAAUGUAUAAAAGAUCGUUGGGCCACGCGGGUUCCCCAUAAUAAUUAUGUCCCAUCCCUUUAGCUAAUUUUGCUCUUAAUACAGGAUCAUUUAAGUCAGGUUUCUUUGUUAUUGGGAUAGGUGAAUUCUUUAGGAUCCAUCCCCCAAAGGAACCGGACAUGAGAAUUUUUCAUCAUCCGGCUCGAGCAAGAAUGAAAGAAAUAAGACCGUGGAGGAUCCACAAUAGAAUAGGGGUAUAUAAUGACUCAAUGACUCAAGGUAAGAAAAACUUUAUCAAAUUAUCUUUUCCGAAGUUGCGCCUAUAACUACUCAUUGAAAAGAAUCCUAUUCUUAUGCUUAAAUGCUCAAUAUCCAAGUGGGCUUACAAAUUUGAUCAUGAUCAAUUGCUUUGUGGAUUGUCUCUUGAUUAGUUGUUGUUUAUCCCCUCGAUAUCGCAAGUUUCUUAUGUCCAAACAAAGUAUUUACUUGUUACUAAUAAAAAAUCAAAAAGUUUAGCCUGCGUUCUUCCUUAGAUCCCUUCUUUUACUCCGAUAGUAUUGCGGAUCAAAAUCGAUGCAAAGAAAAUGAAUGCAUUUCCAUACUAUAAUAAAAAGUAAGUGUAAUAAAAAUUGAAUUGGAUCAUAUCACAUGACUUAUUCCAUUUAUACUCUAUAGGAUCUUACGGAGCCUGUUCAUGGAUGACAUGGUUGGUGGGGUAUGAUCAUAGAAAAUAUUCUCCUCGAGUGAACCAGCCUAUCCUUCCUAGAUAGGGGACUUACGUGUUGAUUGGAUGCGGAGACACCUUUGGUCGUGAAUUCUAAUGUGGCAGAUCCAAUUCUCUAUCUGCAUGGCCAAAUUAAUAAUUCAAGUCACACACUCCCAUAAUCCGCCUUAUUUUCUUUCGUAAAAUUCACUUCAACUAUUUGUAUAAAAAUACUUCGAAGUUGAAGAGAAGUAUCCAAAUGACAUGUCUUAUUUUACAAUAACCCAUGUUUGUAGCAAUGAAAUACCAUAACCUACCCGAUAUGAUAUAUGAGAAUUAGAAUUCUCUAUGCUAUGCCUUCCCUAUAACGGACCCGAAAUACCUUGCUUACGUACCAUUGGAAAGUGCAUUAACAUAAAUACGGCAGUAAGCAGAGGUAGUAUAAAGGUAUGUAAACUAUAAAAACGAGUCAAAGUGGAUUGGCCCACACUAGCACUUCCACGUAAUAAUUCCACUAAAGGGGACCCUAUUACCGGAAUAGCUUCGGGUACACCUGUAACAAUUUUGACUGCCCAAUAACCAAUUUGAUCCCAAGGCAAAGAAUAACCAGUUACACCAAAUGAUGCAGUCAAUACAG